ACAUUCCAGCAUCGCAGCGCGCAGAAGAAAGCAUCGACGAUAAAGAUAAUCUUUGCUCUUUUACAAUUGUCUUAAUCCUGUCAAAUCAGACAUCGGCCGACGUAAACAUCACGAUAACUUGAACUGUUCAAAAUCCUCACAGGGGCCACUCAUCCAUUUUCAAACCUGGCUUUCCCAGUUGGAAACAAUAUUUAGCUAUUAACUUUGACAUGUUUGUUCCGAUCUGGCUAAAUAUUUACUGUCGACACUAAAAGCAUUUGAGAGCAACGCAUAUAAAAUCGAUUGAACCGUUCGGAGAUUGAAUUAGCGGUCAUUAAUUUGAAAUUCGGCAUUGUCUCUGUGCCUAGUUUUUCCUCGUGAUUGUGCGAAAACUAAACUCGGAAAUCAUCGCAUGUGAUUUGCUUCUGUCGAUCUUUUCCCAGUGACAGCUGACAAUAAUAACAUCAGGUCCAUUGUAACAGGAAGGGUUGUCAUCAUUUUAUAUACACAUGGUAAACGAAAGUCGACACUCCUGAAGGGUCCGAUUACAGCCGUCAUUCCAUCUUUAGUUGUAUUCCGAGACGACGCCUUCCCUUCAUAGUUACUAGAAUUUAAACCAGUAACGCUGGGAGCUCCGAGAUCUCGUAUAUUCAUUACAGUUAAGACGUGGAGGAGAUUGUCCACGCGUUGCCCGAGAAGAACCACAGAUGUGUCGAUUUUGUGUCGUCCUGAUGGCCGCCAUGGCGUUUCUUUGCGGUCAAGCAAGGGCGGAUGUAAAACUAUCAUUACCUCUUGUACCUGCCAAAGUUGGAGCAACAGUGUCAGUUACGUGUACUGUGACUGGUGAGACUUUCCUUGGUUGGUUCAAUCCAAGUGGAAGCAAAAUAACUACUUCACCAUCAGCUGAUAUUCGAGUUGAAAGUAGUGGAAAU
This is a long non-coding RNA of Orbicella faveolata, 911 nucleotides long. Lineage: Eukaryota; Metazoa; Cnidaria; Anthozoa; Scleractinia; Merulinidae. The record is from RefSeq and is a predicted model, not a curated record.